UUGUAUUUUACGUAGAUGCAGAGAGUGAUGCUGAUGCUACAGAAAUGAGACCUGCCGAGACCAAAAGAAGCUUUAGCCAUGAUGGUGAAGAAGGGGAUGGAGGCCCUAAACGAUUUCAACAGUUUUUAUUUCCUUUCAUUUUUGGCUCUGGUUUUCAGUAGUUACAACUUCUCAAUCAUGUCAUCCAAAUGCAUAAAGGGGUUUUCAUCUCAUUCUUUCAUAUUACUCGAUUUUUUAUUUCAUUUUUCAUAUUGCCAUAUUUUUGUUUUUCAUAGGUGUUAAAACUAAAUUUUCAACUUUUAAAUUAAUUGCCUAUGAUAGAAAAUGAAGUGCUUUACUUAAUUAAAACCAACCAGGAUGAAUCUAACUUGCUCUGUUUAAAGUGUUAAGAGUAUAGAUAAAGACUCUAUUAGUCUAUUAGUUGUUAGUUUGUUAUACAAGCAGUUAUGCUGUUAAGUGAGAUUGUUAGCAGCAGUUACUCAUACACAUUUUAUAAAUACUAUAGUUGUACUGGUUAAAUUCAAGAUAAUAAUACAAAAAUCAUUCUCUGCAUAUUCUAUUUUUCUUUCAAGUUUUUGUAGAUAUUAACAUGGUAAACAUCGGACAACAAUGAUUGACAGAGGCAGCAACAUAUUCACUUGAUUAUUGAAGGUUAUGAAUUGACUGGUUUUUUUUGGAGGGAACGUUACCUGGUCUGCCGCAUUUUGUGCUGUCUUUGGAGGGAUCUCUAGUUCCAAAUCCGGAUGCCUCAGCAUUCUUUCAGCAGGAUAGGUUACUUGCCUCUUUCUGGUUAUUUUCUACUAUUAGUCCUUCACUGUUGUCUUCUUUUACAUAUGCUAGGAUGGCGUGCGAUGUUUGGAACACUGCCACUUGCCUCUUCACUACCGUCACAGGUGUCAAGUUAUCUUGCAUUCGCCAUGAUUUACACUCGCUUAAGAAAGGUAAUCUGUCGAUAAUGGAGUAGGUAGUAAAGAUUCAGAAUACCUGUGCUUUAAUCGAGGCUUGUCGAUCUUGGAUCUCGGAGGCAGAGAGUGUGGAUAUCGUACUUGUGGGCCUACCACCGGAGUUCAACGCCAUGCUCACCUUAGCGUCAUUCUUGUCGGAAGCCUUACCGUUACAACACCGCAUGGAUGAGUUGUUGGAGUAUGGAAGUCGCUAAAUUCGCGUGGUUCAGGAGGUGCCGUUUCAUGCUAACCUUUUGGAGACUAUUCCGUCACCGCCGGUGGUGGACUCUGUGCGUGUUGGCCGUCCCCUACUGGUGGUUGUGGGAAGAGGUUUCGAUCCAAACUCCAAUGUUAGAUCUGUGGUCAGUUUGGGCAUUAGCUCAACGUUUUUAAUAUUGUCAUAAUCGCGACUACAGUGGUUCUGACAUUAGCGGCCUGGGCUUCAAAUUCGACCGAUCGUACUAGGCAGGGUUCGGAUGUUGGUUUCUCAUUUCUAUCGCCCGCCUCUAGUCAGUUUGGUGGCCUUUCGUAGACGGCGCCAUCACGAUUUCUUUCUGGUAAAUGGUAGGGUGGUCACUUGUCUACUGCGCCUCCCCUGUAUAUGUCAUACACUAGGGUUUUUAACCCCUUUUUUUUGCGUUUGAUGAUGGAGCAGGCCUACCGCUUGGGCAUUAUGCUGGGUUAAGCCAACCAUUUGGGCUUGGUCAUGAGUAGCGGUUUGAGCCUGGUCAUGAGGCAGUUCACUGGGUUAGGUCCGUAUUUUGGGCUUGUAA
This 1717-nucleotide long non-coding RNA is filed under the name Gossypium barbadense (sea-island cotton). RNAcentral describes it as "long non-coding RNA (GBAR_LNC022936)". Lineage: Eukaryota; Viridiplantae; Streptophyta; Magnoliopsida; Malvales; Malvaceae. The record is from RNAcentral.